This is a small nucleolar RNA of Cannabis sativa, 107 nucleotides long. The record is from RefSeq and is a predicted model, not a curated record. NCBI's taxonomy places the organism in Eukaryota, Viridiplantae, Streptophyta, Magnoliopsida, Rosales, Cannabaceae.
UAGUCAUGUUGUGGGCAACAACGUAAUAAGUCUUUGAAUCGCUCCCAUGCUUCAUAAAGUUGCUUUGAAUCAAGUUGUCUGAAUUGCUCAAUCUCACUUCUCAACUG